AACGUAGGUGGCGAGCGUUAUCCGGAUUUACUGGGCGUAAAGGGCGCGUAGGCGGCCACCGCAAGUCGAUUGUGAAAUCUCCGGGCUUAACCCGGAAAGGUCAACCGAUACUGCGGGGCUAGAGUGCAGAAGGGGCAACUGGAAUUCUCGGUGUAGCGGUGAAAUGCGUAGAUAUCGAGAGGAACACCUGCGGCGAAGGCGGGUUGCUGGGCUGACACUGACGCUGAAGUGCGAAAGCUAGGGGAGCGAACGGG
This 254-nucleotide ribosomal RNA is filed under the name uncultured bacterium. RNAcentral describes it as "partial 16S ribosomal RNA". It matches the Rfam family "Bacterial small subunit ribosomal RNA", at positions 524 to 776 of the family's 1533-position model. The record is from RNAcentral.